Long non-coding RNA from Carassius carassius (crucian carp), 318 nucleotides. RefSeq lists it as uncharacterized. The record is from RefSeq and is a predicted model, not a curated record. NCBI's taxonomy places the organism in Eukaryota, Metazoa, Chordata, Actinopteri, Cypriniformes, Cyprinidae. The transcript is spliced from 2 exons.
CCAAGGCUCACUCUACACGGGAUAUGGCGGCCUUCAAGGCGUUUCUAGCAGGUGUGUCCAUGCUGGACAUCUGCAGUGCUGCGGGGUGGUCCACGCCUUCUACUUUUGCAAGAUUCUAUGGCUUAGACAUGCCAGUCACUCCAGGCACUUCAGUCCUCUCGUCCUAAGCUGUGCUCUUCGGAUACACACUAGGCAGGGGUUUGGUAGUCUGGCAGCGUUGGUACUCGUUCCCCAAAGUCGUUUUCGACGCAGUGUCUCGUUCCCUCGAGGAACUAGGGUUACAUACGUAACCUAGAGACGAUUUUCAGUGAACAACAA